GAGUUUGAUCCUGGCUCAGAUUGAACGCUGGCGGCAGGCCUAACACAUGCAAGUCGAGCGGAUGAAAGGAGCUUGCUCCUGGAUUCAGCGGCGGACGGGUGAGUAAUGCCUAGGAAUCUGCCUGGUAGUGGGGGACAACGUUUCGAAAGGAACGCUAAUACCGCAUACGUCCUACGGGAGAAAGCAGGGGACCUUCGGGCCUUGCGCUAUCAGAUGAGCCUAGGUCGGAUUAGCUAGUUGGUGAGGUAAUGGCUCACCAAGGCGACGAUCCGUAACUGGUCUGAGAGGAUGAUCAGUCACACUGGAACUGAGACACGGUCCAGAUCUACGGGAGGCAGCAGUGGGGAAUAUUGGACAAUGGGCGAAAGCCUGAUCCAGCCAUGCCGCGUGUGUGAAGAAGGUCUUCGGAUUGUAAAGCACUUUAAGUUGGGAGGAAGGGCAGUAAAUUAAUACUUUGCUGUUUUGACGUUACCGACAGAAUAAGCACCGGCUAACUCUGUGCCAGCAGGGGUAAUACAGAGGGCAAGCGUUAAUCGGAAUUACUGGGCGUAAAGCGCGCGUAGGUGGUUUGUUAAGUUGGAUGUGAAAUCCCCGGGCUCAACCUGGGUCUCAUGGCAAGCUAGAGUAUGGUAGAGGGUGGGAGAAAGGUAGAUAUAGGAAGGACAGAACG
This 670-nucleotide ribosomal RNA is filed under the name Pseudomonas baetica. Its description in RNAcentral is "bacterial SSU rRNA". It matches the Rfam family "Bacterial small subunit ribosomal RNA", at positions 9 to 690 of the family's 1533-position model. The record is from RNAcentral. Lineage: Bacteria; Pseudomonadati; Pseudomonadota; Gammaproteobacteria; Pseudomonadales; Pseudomonadaceae.